CAGUCGCCGCGGUAAUACGAAGGGGGCUAGCGUUGUUCGGAUUUACUGGGCGUAAAGGGUGCGUAGGCGGAUUGUUAAGUCAGGGGUGAAAUCCCGAGGCUCAACCUCGGAACUGCCUUUGAUACUGGCGAUCUUGAGUCCGGGAGAGGUGAGUGGAGCUGCGAGUGUAGAGGUGAAAUUCGUAGAUAUUCGCAAGAACACCGGUGGCGAAGGCGGCUCACUGGCCCGGUACUGACGCUGAGGCACGAAAGCGUGGGGAGCAAACAGGAUUAGAUACCCCGGUAGUCCCUGUCUCUUAUAC
This 301-nucleotide ribosomal RNA is filed under the name uncultured bacterium. RNAcentral's name for it is "partial 16S ribosomal RNA". It matches the Rfam family "Bacterial small subunit ribosomal RNA", at positions 509 to 807 of the family's 1533-position model. The record is from RNAcentral.